Rattus norvegicus (Norway rat) is the source of this 1157-nucleotide long non-coding RNA. RefSeq annotates it as colon adenocarcinoma hypermethylated. The record is from RefSeq and is marked validated. NCBI's taxonomy places the organism in Eukaryota, Metazoa, Chordata, Mammalia, Rodentia, Muridae. The transcript has a single exon.
CGGCGCCCACCUGGCGGGGCGAGGGACCCGACCGUCGGAUCGCUUGGGGUGCUAGGUGGCGGUGGACUGAGUCGGCGUAGGCGCCCGCACCGCAGUGUCUUCCGCGGUGGGGACUCCAGCGAGGUUUCCCCUGGAGCCAGCGCCACGCGUGACGGGCCUCGCAUCGCCGUGUGCUGCGAGGCGGCCCCGGACCGUGGGCGGAGAUGGCACACGCGUGCGCACCCACGGGCGGGCGGGCUCCGUUCCAUGCGGCGUGACGCGCGGUUCCGUUAUCCUCACCGCAGGUUACAGUCCGGAGGUGGAGGCGGUGGCUCCUCGGAGGCGCGGCCGCUCGCUGAAGAAGCCUGUGUGAGCACACAUUCGGGAAAACCAAGUAGUCAACACCUAUUUCUACCUACUUGACAAAAAUAAAUAAAUAAAUAAAUAAAUAAAUAAAUAAAUAAAUAAAUAAAUAAAUAAAUAAAUAAAUAAAAAUAAACGAAAGGCAGUGGGCCAGAAAAGGUGCUUCCUAUGGGGGUGAGGGAGUUCUGAGGGUUACAUUUGUUUCGGAAACAAUGUUCUGAAUUGCAGCAAUGAAGUCCUGUGAUUUAUAGAAGCUGUCACUCACUAAAUCUGCAUCAUCCCUGUUUUGUUGCAAGUUCUUUAUAACGUGCCGUAUUAAAAUGUAGACAAGAUUGUCAAAUUAACCAUUUUGAGAGUUGGCCCUGGCUAUAAUUUUCUGUGAAUCAUCUCACUGUAUUUUAAAUGUGAACAUAAGCAGCGUUGUCGAAUUGUUUUUUUUUUUUAAACUGCUUUACACAAAUUCUAAAGAGCAUUCCGAAGUUUGUGUGGUGCCAAAGGUAUUUAAAGCAACUUUACUCUUGAUUUCAUUUAAAGACUACAGUUCGAGUUGGUUUUGGUUUUGGUUUUCUCGUUUAUUAAAUUAGUAGAGCAAAUGAUGGACAAAGUUAACGUGUAAUUGAAAUAACUUGAAUUUUUCAACAAUGACUAUAGUAGUUCUAGAUUAUUCACCUAGUUAUCUCUUUAAACAGUAAAUUAUGUAAAAGCAUGGAAUAAUUUGAUUAAAAAGCUGUUACUACGUUUUCUAAGUGUUGCUUCAAAACCUAGAAAAAUUAGAAGUUUGUUCCUUGUAUAUUAUUAAAAAAUAUUUGUCCCUG